GACGAACGCUGGCGGCGUGCUUAACACAUGCAAGUCGAACGGAAAGGCCCUGCUUUUGUGGGGUGCUCGAGUGGCGAACGGGUGAGUAACACGUGAGUAACCUGCCCUUGACUUUGGUAUAACUUCAGGAAACUGGGGCUAAUACCGGAUAGGAGCUCCUGCCUCAUGGUGGUGGUUGGAAAGUUUCGGCGGUUGGGGAUGGACUCGCGGCUUAUCAGCUUGUUGGUGGGGUAGUGGCUUACCAAGGCUUUGACGGGUAGCCGGCCUGAGAGGGUGACCGGCCACAUGGGGACUGAGAUACGGCCCAGACUCCUACGGGAGGCAGCGGUGGGGAAGAUUGCACAAUGGGCGGAAGCCUGAUGCAGCAACGCCGCGUGCGGGAUGACGGCCUUCGGGUUGUAAACCGCUUUCGCCUGUGACGAAGCGUGAGUGACGGUAAUGGGUAAAGAAGCACCGGCUAACUACGU
RNAcentral lists this ribosomal RNA (467 nucleotides) under uncultured bacterium. RNAcentral's name for it is "partial 16S ribosomal RNA". It matches the Rfam family "Bacterial small subunit ribosomal RNA", at positions 28 to 506 of the family's 1533-position model. The record is from RNAcentral.